UCAUUUUUAUACGACCGCAAAAAUUAAAAAUUUUUUGGUCGUAUAUUGGUAUGACGUUGGCGUCGUCGUCGUCGUCCGGCGUCGUCGUCCGAAGACACAUUGGUUUUCGCACUCUAACUUUAGUUUAAGUGAAUGGAUCUCCAUGAAAUUUCACCAUAAGGUUCAAUACCACGAAAGGAAGGUUGGGAUUGAUUUUGGGGGUUAUGGUACCAACAGUUAAGGAAUUAGGGGCCAAAAAGGGGCCAAAAAUAAGCAUUUUUGUAACUUUCAGACAAUAACUUGUGUGUAAGUGUAUGGAUCUCUCUGACAUUGUACCACAAGGUUCCAUAUCACAAAGGGAAGGCUGUAAUUGAUUUUGGGGGUAAUUGCCUCAAAAUUUUAGGAAUUAGGGGCCAAAAAAGGGGCAAAAAACAAGCAUUUUUCUAGUUUCAUGACAAUAACUUGUGUGUAAGUGUUUGGAUAUUUCUGAAAUUGUACUACAAGGUACCAUAUCACAAAGGGAAAGCUGGAAUUGAGUUUGGGGGUAAUUGCCCGAAACGUUUAGGAAUUGGGGGCCAAAAAGGGGCCAAAAAUAAGCAUUUUUCUAGUUUCCAGACAAUAACUUGUGUUCAAGUGUAUGGAUCUCUCUGAAAUUGUACUGCAAGGUACCAUACCACAAAGGGAAGGCUGGGAUUGAGUUUGGGGGUGAUGAAUCAUAAGGGGGUUCAAAAAAUUUGGGGGGGGGGAUUUUUUUUUUUUUUUUUUUUUCUUUUUUUCCUUUUUUUUUUCUUUUAAAAUUUUCCAUUUUAAGUUGGUUAUUUCUGAUUUAUAUUUAAAAGCAAAUAAUAAUGAUAUGGUAGGAGAUACACACCAAACAGGAUGUGUAAAUUAUUAUAUAAUAAGUAUUGUGCAAUAGCAAGAAAUUUUCAAUUGCACAGUAUUGCACAAUAGCAAGAAAUCUUCAAUUGCACAGUAUUGCGCAAUAGCAAGAAAUCUUCAAUUGCACAGUAUUGCGCAAUAGCAAGAAAUAUCCAAUAGCACAAUAUUGCGCAAUAGCAAGAAAUUGUCAAUUGUACAGUAUUGCGCAAUAGCAAGAAAUAUUCAAUUGCACAGUAUUGUGCAAAAGAAGAUACUUCGUAUAAAUUGCUUAUUUCUUGAUCAAUUUCAAUGGGGUUUUAUUCUUGAAUUCUUGGGGUUCUUUAAUAUGCUGAAUCUAACCGUGUAUUAAGUUUUUGGAUUUUGGGCCCCGUUUUUAAAUUGGUCCACAUUGAGGUCCAAAGGGUCCAAAAUUUAACUUUGUUUGAUUUCAUCAAAAAUUGAAUUAUUGGGGUUCUUUGAUAUGCAGAAUUUAACCGUGUAUUUAGAUUUUUAAUUUUGGGUCCCGUUUUUAUACGACCGCAAAAAUUGAAAAUUUUUUGGUCGUAUAUUGGUAUGACGUUGGCGUCGUCGUCGUCGUCGUCGUCGUCGUUGUCGUCGUCGUCGUCGUCGUCGUCCGGCGUCGUCUGGCGUCGUCCGAAGACACAUUGGUUUUCGCACUCUAACUUUAGUUUAAGUGAAUGGAUCUCCAUGAAAUUUUACCAUAAGGUUCAAUACCAUGAAAGGAAGGUUGGGAUUGAUUUUGGGGGUUAUGGUACCAACAGUUAAGGAAUUAGGGGCCAAAAAGGGGCCAACAAUAAGCAUUUUUGUAACUUCCAGACAAUAACUUGUGUGUAAGUGUAUGGAUCUCUCUGACAUUGUACCACAAGGUUCCAUAUCACAAAGGGAAGGCUGUAAUUGAUUUUGGGGGUAAUUGCCUCAAAAUGUUAGGAAUUAGGGGCCAAAAAAGGGGCAAAAAACAAGCAUUUUUCUAGUUUCAUGACAAUAACUUGUGUGUAAGUGUUUGGAUAUUUCUGAAAUUGUACUACAAGGUUCCAUAUCACAAAGGGAAAGCUGGAAUUGAGUUUGGGGGUAAUUGCCCGAAACAUUUAGGAAUUGGGGGCCAAAAAGGGGCCAAAAAUAAGCAUUUUUCUAGUUUCCAGACAAUAACUUGUGUUCAAGUGUAUGGAUCUCUCUGAAAUUGUACUGCAAGGUACCAUACCACAAAGGGAAGGCUGAGAUUGAGUUUGGGGGUGAUGAAUCAUAAGGGGGUUCAAAAAAUUUUGGGGGGGGGAUUUUUUUUUUUCUUUUUUUCCUUUUUUUUUUCUUUUAAAAUUUUCCAUUUUAAGUUGGUUAUUUCUGAUUUAUAUUUAAAAGCAAAUAAUAAUGAUAUGGUAGGAGAUACACACCAAACAGGAUGUGUAAAUUAUUAUAUAAUAAGUAUUGUGCAAUAGCAAGAAAUUUUCAAUUGCACAGUAUUGCACAAUAGCAAGAAAUCUUCAAUUGCACAGUAUUGCGCAAUAGCAAGAAAUCUUCAAUUGCACAGUAUUGCGCAAUAGCAAGAAAUCUUCAAUUGCACAGUAUUGCGCAAUAGCAAGAAAUAUCCAAUAGCACAAUAUUGCGCAAUAGCAAGAAAUUGUCAAUUGUACAGUAUUGCGCAAUAGCAAGAAAUAAUCAAUUGCACAGUAUUGUGCAAAAGAAGAUACUUCGUAUAAAUUGCUUAUUUCUUGAUCAAUUUCAAUGGGGAUUUAUUCUUGAAUUCUUGGGGUUCUUUAAUAUGCUGAAUCUAACCGUGUAUUAAGUUUUUGGAUUUUGGGCCCCGUUUUUAAAUUGGUCCACAUUGAGGUCCAAAGGGUCCAAAAUUUAACUUUGUUUGAUUUCAUCAAAAAUUGAAUUAUUGGGGUUCUUUGAUAUGCCGAAUCUAACCGUGUAUUUAGAUUCUUAAUUUUUGGUUCUGUUUUCAAAUUGGUCUACAUAAAGGUCCAAAGGGUCCAAAAUUAAACUUAGUUUGAUUUCAACAAAAAUUGAAUAUAUGGGGUUCUUUGAUAUGCUGAAUCUAACCAUGUAUUUAGAUUUUUGAUUAUGGGCCCAGUUUUCAAGUUGGUCCAAAUCGGGGUCCAAAAUUAAACUUUGUUUGAUUUCAACAAAAAUUGAAUAUAUGGGGUUCUUUGAUAUGCUGAAUCUAACCAUGUAUUUAGAUUUUUGUUUUUGGGCCCAGUUUUCAAGUUGGUCCAAAUCGGGGUCCAAAAUUAAACUUUGUUUGAUUUCAACAAAAAUUGAAUAUAUGGGGUUCUUUGAUAUGCUGAAUCUAACCAUGUAUUUAGAUUUUUGAUUGUUGGGCCCCGUUAUCAACUUUGUCCACAUUGAGAUCAAAAGGGUCCAAAAUUAAACUUUGUUUGAUUUCAUCAAAAAUUGAAUAUAUGGGGUUCUUUGAUAUGCUGAAUCUAACCAUGUAUUUAGAUUUUUGAUUAUGGGCCCAGUUUUCAAGUUGGUCCAAAUCGGGGUCCAAAAUUAAACUUUGUUUGAUUUCAACAAAAAUUGAAUAUAUGGGGUUCUUUGAUAUGCUGAAUCUAACCAUGUAUUUAGAUUUUUGAUUAUGGGCCCAGUUUUCAAGUUGGUCCAAAUCGGGGUCCAAAAUUAAACUUUGUUUGAUUUCAACAAAAAUUGAAUAUAUGGGGUUCUGUAAUAUGCUGAAUCUAACGGUGUAUUAAGUUUUUGGAUUUUGGGCCCCGUUUUAAAAUUGGUCCACAUUGAAGUCCAAAGGGUCCAAAAUUUAACUUUGUUUGAUUUCAUCAAAAAUUGAAUUAUUGGGGUUCUUUGAUAUGCCGAAUCUAACCGUGUAUUUAGAUUCUUAAUUUUUGGUUCCGUUUUCAAAUUGGUCUACAUAAAGGUCCAAAGGGUCCAAAAUUAAACUUAGUUUGAUUUUAACAAAAAUUGAAUUUUUAGGGUUCUUUGAUAUGCUGAAUCUAAACAUGUAUUUAGAUUUUUGAUUAUGGGCCCAGUUUUCAAGCUGGUCCAAAUCAGGGUCCAAAAUUAAACUUUGUUUGAUUUCAACAAAAAUUGAAUAUAUGGGGUUCUUUGAUAUGCUGAAUCUAACCAUGUAUUUAGAUUUUUGAUUUUUGGGCCCCGUUAUCAACUUUGUCCACAUUGAGGUCGAAAGGGUCCAAAAUUAAACUUUGUUUGAUUUCAUCAAAAAUUGAAUUCUUGGGGUUCUUUGAUAUGCUGAAUCUAACCAUGUAUUUAGAUUUUGGAUAUUGGACCAUAAUAGGUGAAUGUCCAAUUUAAAAUUUUUAAGUUCUUAGACCACAUUCAUUCUGUGUCAGAAACCUAUGCUGUGUCAAAUAUUUAAUCACAAUCCAAAUUCAGAGCUGUAUCAAGCUUGAAUGUUGUGUCCAUACUUGCCCAAACUGUUCAGGGUUCGACCUCUGCGGUCGUAUCAAGCUGCGCCCUGCGGAGCAUUUUAUUUAAAUUGGUCUACAUUAAGGUCCAAAGGGUCCAAAAUUAAACUUAGUUUGAUUUUAACAAAAAUUGAAUUUUUGGGGUUCUUUGAUAUGCUGAAUCUAAACAUGUGUUUAGAUUUUUGAUUAUGGGACCAGUUUUCAAGUUGGUCCAAGUUGGGGUCCAAAAUUAAACUUUGUUUGAUUUCAACAAAAAUUGAAUAUAUGGGGUUCUUUGAUAUGCUGAAUCUAAACAUGUAUUUAGAUUUUAGAUUUUUGGCCCAGUUUUCAAGUUGAUCCAAAUUGGGGUCCAAAAUUAAACUUUGUUUGAUUUCAACAAAAAUUGAAUAUAUGGGGUUCUUUGAUAUGCUGAAUCUUACCAUGUAUUUAGAUUUUUUAUUUGUGGGCCCGCUAUCAAAUUGGUUCAUAUUGAGGUCAAAAGGGUCCAAAAUUAAACUUUGUUUGAUUUCAUCAAAAAUUUAAUUAUUGGGGUUCUUUGAUAUGCCAAAUCUAACCGUGUUUUUAGAUUUUUAAUUUUGGGUCCCGUUUUUUAAAUUUGUCUACAUUAAGGUCCAAAGGGUCCAAAAUUAAACUUAGUUUGAUUUUAACAAAAAUUGAAUUCUUUGGGUACUUUGAUAUGCUGAAUCUAAACAUGUGUUUAGAUUUUUGAUUAUGGGACCAGUUUUCAAGUUUGUCCAAGUUGGGGUCCAAAAUUAAACUUUGUUUGAUUUCAACAAAAAUUGAAUAUAUGGGGUUCUUUGAUAUGCUGAAUCUAACCAUGUAUUUUGAUUUUGGACAUUGGACCAUAAUAGGUAAAUUAAAAAAAUUGAAGUUCUUAGACCACAUUCUUUCUGUGUCAGAAACCUAUGCUGUGUCAAAUAUUUAAUCACAAUCCAAAUUCAGAGCUGUAUCAAGCUUGAAUGUUGUGUCCAUACUUGCCCCAACUGUUCAGGGUUCGACCUCUGCGGUCGUAUCAAGCUGCGCCCAGCGAAGCAUUUUAUUAUAAA
Molecule: long non-coding RNA, 5278 nt
Organism: Mytilus californianus (California mussel)
Lineage: Eukaryota; Metazoa; Mollusca; Bivalvia; Mytilida; Mytilidae
Exons: 2
Source: RefSeq, a predicted model, not a curated record